This 1502-nucleotide ribosomal RNA is filed under the name uncultured bacterium. RNAcentral describes it as "16S ribosomal RNA". It matches the Rfam family "Bacterial small subunit ribosomal RNA". The record is from RNAcentral.
AGAGUUUGAUCCUGGCUCAGAGCGAACGCUGGCGGCGUGCUUAACACAUGCAAGUCGAACGCGCAGCAUUCUGUAGCAAUACAGGGUGUGGGCGCGUGGCGAACGGGUGCGUAACACGUGGAUAACCUUCCUUCAGGUGGGGAAUAACCCAGUGAAAAUUGGGCUAAUACCGCAUAACAAGACGAUGGCACAUGCUGCUGUCUUCAAAGCCGCAAGGCGCCAGAAGAGGGAUCCGCGGCCGAUUAGCUUGUUGGCGAGGUAAUGGCUCACCAAGGCAUUGAUCGGUAGCCGGACUGAGAGGUUGGCCGGCCACACUGGAACUGAGACACGGUCCAGACUCCUACGGGAGGCAGCAGUGGGGAAUCUUGCACAAUGGACGAAAGUCUGAUGCAGCAACGCCGCGUGGGGGAUGAAGCUUCUCGGAGUGUAAACCCCUUUUGGGCCGGGAAGAUAACCCCUUCGGUUUUGACGGUACGGGUAUAAGAAAGCCCCCGGCUAACUACGUGCCAGCAGCCGCGGGUAAUACGUAGGGGGCCAGCGUUGCUCGGAAUUACUGGGCGUAAAGGGUCCGUAGGCGGUGUGGCAAGUCGGGAGUGAAAUCUCUGGGCUUAACCCAGAGGCUGCUUCCGAAACUGCCGUGCUAGAGUGUGAGAGAGGCGAGUGGAAUUACGGGUGUAGCGGUGAAAUGCGUAGAUAUCCGUAGGAACAUCCGAGGCGAAAGCGGCUCGCUGGAUCACAACUGACGCUGAGGGACGAAAGCUAGGGGAGCAAACAGGAUUAGAUACCCUGGUAGUCCUAGCCCUAAACCAUCAGGACUUGGGGUUUGCCCUGUACGGGGCAAGUCCCGUAGCUAACGCGUUAAGUCCUGCGCCUGGGGAGUACGGUCGCAAGACUGAAACUCAAAGGAAUUGACGGGGGCCCGCCCAAGCGGUGGAACAUGUGGUUCAAUUCGACGCAACGCGAAGAACCUUACCUGGGCUUGAACCGCACAGGACCAUCUUUGGAAACAGAGACUUCCCGCAAGGGACCUGUGUAGAGGUGCUGCAUGGCUGUCGUCAGCUCGUGCCGUGAGGUGUUGGGUUAAGUCCCGCAACGAGCGCAACCCUUACUCGUAGUUGCCACCCGCAAGGGGGAACUCUACGAGGACUGCUCCGGAUAACGGAGAGGAAGGUGGGGAUGAGGUCAAGUCAGCAUGGCCUUUAUGUCCAGGGCUACACACGUGUUACAAUGCGCGCUACAAAGCGUUGCAAACCCGCGAGGGGGAGCUAAUCGCAAAAAAGCGCGCUCAGUUCGGAUUGCAGUCUGCAACUCGACUGCAUGAAGCCGGAAUCGCUAGUAAUGGCGCAUCAGAACGGCGCCGUGAAUACGUUCCCGGGCCUUGUACACACCGCCCGUCACAUCACGAAAGUGGGCUGUACUAGAAAUCGCCGUGCCAACCGCAAGGAGGCAGGCGCUCAAGGUAUGACUCAUGAUUGGGGUGAAGUCGUAACAAGGUAGCCGUA